RNAcentral lists this small RNA (117 nucleotides) under Marmota monax (woodchuck). Lineage: Eukaryota; Metazoa; Chordata; Mammalia; Rodentia; Sciuridae. The record is from RNAcentral.
GCAGGGUUCAGUGGUACAUAUCUGUAGUCCCAGCUACUUUGGAGGCUGAGACAGGAGGAUCUCUUGAUCCCAGGAGUUCAGUGCCAGCCUGGGCAACAUAGCAAGAAUCCAUCUCAA